This 362-nucleotide ribosomal RNA is filed under the name uncultured bacterium. RNAcentral describes it as "partial 16S ribosomal RNA". It matches the Rfam family "Bacterial small subunit ribosomal RNA", at positions 338 to 697 of the family's 1533-position model. The record is from RNAcentral.
CCUACGGGUGACAGCAGUGAGGAAUCUUGGUCAAUGGUCGGAAGCCUGAACCAGCCAAGCCGCGUGCGGGAGGAAGGUACUGCGGAUUGUAAACCUCUUUUAUGAGGGAACAAAGCCUGGUACGCGUCCCCCGAUGCGUGUACCUGACGAACAAGGAUCGGCUAACUCCGUGCCAGCAGCCGCGGUAAUCCGGAGGCUGCGUGCGUUAUCCGGAUUUAUUGGGUUUAAAGGGGGGGCAGGCCGUCUGGUAAGGCUGGGGGGAAAGCCCGGGGCUCAACCCCGGCCCGGCGGUUGAAAUUGGCAGGCUCGAGUGAGAGAGAAGUAGGCGGAAUGCGCGGUGUAGCAGUGAAAUGCAUAGAUAU